This 237-nucleotide ribosomal RNA is filed under the name uncultured bacterium. RNAcentral's name for it is "partial 16S ribosomal RNA". It matches the Rfam family "Bacterial small subunit ribosomal RNA", at positions 109 to 334 of the family's 1533-position model. The record is from RNAcentral.
AGUAACACGUGGGUAACCUGCCCGGAAGUGGGGAAUACCUCGGGGAAACUCGAGCUAAUACCGCAUGACAUCUUUGGGACGAAAGUUCUGACGAUCAAAGCGGGGUCGCAAGAUCUCGCGCUACCGGAUGGGCCCGCGCCCGAUUAGCUAGUUGGCGAGGUAAUGGCUCACCAAGGCUUCGAUCGGUAACCGGCCUGAGAGGGCGAUCGGUCACACCGGAACUGAGACACGGUCCGG